Molecule: ribosomal RNA, 460 nt
Filed under: uncultured bacterium
Lineage: Bacteria
Description: partial 16S ribosomal RNA
Rfam family: Bacterial small subunit ribosomal RNA
Source: RNAcentral
CCUACGGGAGGCAGCAGUGAGGAAUAUUUGACAAUGGACGAGAGUCUGAACCAGCCAAGUAGCGUGAAGGAUGACUGCCCUAUGUGUUGAAAACUUCUUUUAUAAAGGAAUAAAACGAGGCACGUGUGCCUGUUUGCAUGUACUUCAUGAAUAAGGAUCGGCCAACUCCGUGCCAGCAGCAGCGGUAAUCCGGAGGGUCCGAGCGUUAUCCGGAUUUAUUGGGUUUAAAGGGAGCGUAGAUGGGUUGUUAAGUCAGUUGUGAAAGUUUGCGGCUCAACCGUAAAAUUGCAAUUGAUACUGGCAGUCUUGAGUACAGUUGAGGUAGGCGGAAUUCGUGGUGUAGCGGUGAAAUGCUUAGAUAUCACGAAGAACCCCGAUUGCGAAGGCAGCUUACUAAACUGUGACUGACAUUGAUGCUCGAAAGUGUGGGUAUCAAACAGGAUUAGAUACCCCUGUAGUC